Molecule: ribosomal RNA, 549 nt
Filed under: uncultured bacterium
Lineage: Bacteria
Description: bacterial SSU rRNA
Rfam family: Bacterial small subunit ribosomal RNA
Source: RNAcentral
UGGGGAAUAUUGGACAAUGGGCGAAAGCCUGAUCCAGCCAUGCCGCGUGUGUGAAGAAGGCCUUUUGGUUGUAAAGCACUUUAAGUGGGGAGGAAAAGCUUAUGGUUAAUACCCAUAAGCCCUGACGUUACCCACAGAAUAAGCACCGGCUAACUCUGUGCCAGCAGCCGCGGUAAUACAGAGGGUGCAAGCGUUAAUCGGAAUCACUGGGCGUAAAGCGCGCGUAGGUGGUUAUUUAAGUCAGAUGUGAAAGCCCCGGGCUUAACCUGGGAACUGCAUCUGAUACUGGAUAACUAGAGUAGGUGAGAGGGGAGUAGAAUUCCAGGUGUAGCGGUGAAAUGCGUAGAGAUCUGGAGGAAUACCGAUGGCGAAGGCAGCUCCCUGGCAUCAUACUGACACUGAGGUGCGAAAGCGUGGGUAGCAAACAGGAUUAGAUAUCCUGGUAGUCCACGCCGUAAACGAUGUCUACCAGUCGUUGGGUCUUUUAAAGACUUAGUGACGCAGUUAACGCAAUAAGUAGACCGCCUGGGGAGUACGGCCGCAAGGUUA